This 69-nucleotide transfer RNA is filed under the name Trematomus bernacchii (emerald rockcod). RNAcentral's name for it is "tRNA-Glu". It matches the Rfam family "tRNA". Rfam says of the family: Transfer RNA (tRNA) molecules are approximately 80 nucleotides in length. Lineage: Eukaryota; Metazoa; Chordata; Actinopteri; Perciformes; Nototheniidae. The record is from RNAcentral.
GUUUUCAGGAGUUGAAUACAACGAUGGCUUUUCAUGCCUUAAGUCCAGGUUAGAGCCCUGGCAAGAAUU